AUGCAAUGUGUGUGUAUUUUUUUAAAGAUUUUUAUUUUUAGCAAUCUCUACACUGUUUGUGGGGCCUGAACAUACAAACCCAAGAUCAAGAGUUGCAUGCUUUACCAACUGAGCCAGUCAAGCACCCUCAGUGUAUAUUCGGGCUCAAUAUAACUAUGGAAGCCAUCUGAAUAAAAAUUUGAGACAUCUGAUACAGGAUUCUAUCAUCAUCGUCGUCAUCAUCAGCAUCAUUAUUACUAGUACUAUUAUUUUGAUUGGAAGCAUCUUAUAGUAGUAGGAAAAUAGUAAAGUUACGUUUAUUGAAAAGAAUGAAAUUGAAGCAAUCCUGACAAAUGUUGAGCAAAUGGCUUUAACACUGUAAUAAAUUGAAGUAUCCUUA
Molecule: long non-coding RNA, 379 nt
Organism: Prionailurus viverrinus (fishing cat)
Lineage: Eukaryota; Metazoa; Chordata; Mammalia; Carnivora; Felidae
Exons: 2
Source: RefSeq, a predicted model, not a curated record